UACGUAGGGGCUAGCGUUAUCCGGAAUUACUGGGCGUAAAGGGUGCGUAGGUGGUUUCUUAAGUCAGAGGUGAAAGGCCACGGCUCAACCGUAGUAAGCCUUUGAAACUGGGAAACUUGAGUGCAGGAGAGGAGAGUGGAAUUCCUAGUGUAGCGGUGAAAUGCGUAGAUAUUAGGAGGAAUACCAGUUGCGAAGGCGGCUCUCUGGACUGUAACUGACACUGAGGCACGAAAGCGUGGGGAGCAAACAGGAUUAGAUACCCUGGUAGUCCCUGAG
RNAcentral lists this ribosomal RNA (276 nucleotides) under uncultured prokaryote. RNAcentral's name for it is "partial 16S ribosomal RNA". It matches the Rfam family "Bacterial small subunit ribosomal RNA", at positions 524 to 801 of the family's 1533-position model. The record is from RNAcentral.